CCAUCGGUGGUUCAGUGGUAGAAUGCUCGCCUGCCAUGCAUGCGGGCGGCCCGGGUUCGAUUCCCGGCCGAUGCA
Molecule: non-coding RNA, 75 nt
Organism: Cordylochernes scorpioides
Lineage: Eukaryota; Metazoa; Arthropoda; Arachnida; Pseudoscorpiones; Chernetidae
Source: the annotation of a GenBank genome assembly